CCUGGGUUUGUGAGCCGUCCUUAAAGCAACAGGGAGCUGGAAGCUGGGCUCGGGGACCCCCAGGCAUCCUGAAGCUCUGAGUCUCAGUAGCCUUGUUCAAAUGGGGACCGCGUCUGCGUCCCCUCCCCCAAACAGAAGCACUCCACGAGACACGGUAACAGAACCGCUCCCGGUGAUGUGACAUUCUUAACCCCGAAGGAACUCUGGUGAAAAGAAACUCAUGUGUGGGUUCAUGACAGAAAGCUCCCCCC
Molecule: long non-coding RNA, 251 nt
Organism: Perognathus longimembris pacificus (Pacific pocket mouse)
Lineage: Eukaryota; Metazoa; Chordata; Mammalia; Rodentia; Heteromyidae
Exons: 2
Source: RefSeq, a predicted model, not a curated record